Long non-coding RNA from Synchiropus splendidus (mandarinfish), 549 nucleotides. RefSeq lists it as uncharacterized. The transcript has 3 exons. NCBI's taxonomy places the organism in Eukaryota, Metazoa, Chordata, Actinopteri, Syngnathiformes, Callionymidae. The record is from RefSeq and is a predicted model, not a curated record.
GUCGUACACAAAUGUGAAGUUGAGAGGCUGUCUGAAGUCGAUCAGUUUCGGUGCCCAGCCUGCAAACCCUCAAAGUUAGCAGUCUCAGUGGAUGGGAACCGCAAGCUUUAUCGCUUUAAGAGCCAUUCUGGGACCAAAUAGCUUUUUCGAAGGUGUCUUCUUGGCCAACAACACAGAGGUGACCUCCUACGUCAACCACAUCAGGGCAUCAACAGGACAUAAUCCUGGGAAAGGCAGGUGUGGUGGAAGCGAAUGGGUGGCUGCACGAGAGUCCUCCAACAAGUCUGCGACUAAAGUAGAUGAGGAAGGGGUCGAGGUUGUCGUGUGUCGUCAUGGUGUUUUACUGAAGGGACUGAACAUGUUCCGUGGGGAGAUAUUUGCACUUCCUUUAUAUCUCCAGAAACUGCUUGUUUCAAACAAUGUUCAGAUUUUUGCUCUGAUGUGGUAUGCAAAUAUUGACCAUAUUUGCAGAAGGUUGUUGGCCACUGUCCUGAGUUACAGGUCUUGUUGAACAUGCAGCCCUUUCUCUCCAUCAUGCACGCUAAAGCA